Rosa rugosa (rugosa rose) is the source of this 1768-nucleotide long non-coding RNA. RefSeq lists it as uncharacterized. The transcript has 2 exons. Lineage: Eukaryota; Viridiplantae; Streptophyta; Magnoliopsida; Rosales; Rosaceae. The record is from RefSeq and is a predicted model, not a curated record.
UGACCCUAACCUGGAGAUCUGACGGGUUCUCCGUCGUCCGAUCGACCCAGACCACCGCACCACCGCCAUUCCAACCAGACUUCUUCUCUCUUGCCAUCUCUAGAAACCAUUCGAGCUUUAAGCCCCUCUAGAAGGAGAAUCGAAGCCGAGUUCUUCUUAGUGUCGUGCCGAGCAACCUGAUUCGGUCUCACAAUUCCAGCAAUUUUCGGCCAAGAGAUUAGUUGGGUUUUGAAGCCCUUGAUGCACUGAUCAUCCCGAUAUCCACCUUGUUGCCCAAUUCGAUCAAAGGUGGGAUAAUCAACUCCUUGAAGUCUUUGGCUGCUAAAAGCUUUCGAAGCAAAUUAUGGCCGAUCUAGGUUGAAUUGACCUUAGCUCUAGUUAUAGAAAUUGAUCUCCAUUUGAUGAUGAACAUGUUAGUGUAAAUUUCUUGCUCCAAAUUCGAAUUUGGUAUGGCGGCGCAUAGGGUCCACACGCAACCAUUUGUGACGGCGCGUGGGGACAAGACCGGCAGUUUCUUGUCCUUUGCUUUGGUACAUUUGAGCUUCAAACGCAGGAAAUGAGUUAUCAAGAGCUGGAAAUGAGAGAAAUGAAGGCAAGGAAGAAAUGAGACGCGAAAAUGAACAAGAAAUGGAGAAAUGUAGUUUUCCCAAUCCGACUAGGAGAAGGAAUCCCAGUUGUAGGAAUCCUGAGUCAACUAGGAGUGAACUUAUGGAAAUGAUGAUCAAAAAUGAGAAAUGACAGAAUCCCAGUUAGACAAGGAAACCCAUUCCUACCAGGAAAAGGAAACCUAACAUGACUAGGAAUCCCUGUUGCACUAGGAGAGCUCAAGAAGGUUCCAGAACAUCUCGGAAAUGAAGAAUCCUAAUCAGACUAGGAAAUCUGUUGGCACUAGGAGUCCUGAUCACACUAGGAGACCUGAGAGGCUUCAAUAUGACUCAAGAUAGUUCAAGAAUGUUCUAGAAGACCAAGAAUGGCGUCAUACAUGAAGAUGGGCUUUGAAAUUGUCCAAAUGAAGAAGUCUGGCCCAAAAAUUGAAGCACGUGACUUCCAUGUGAUCUUCUAGACUAUUCUUGACAUCUCAAAGGAAUAAUUAUCCUAAAAUAAUUCUUUUUGCCGUGAAAAUAGAGAGAAGAUUAAAGAAGAAUUCGGCAAGAGUCAAUUUGGGAGAGUUUGGGAGAAAAUCUAAUUCAUGUGCAAUCAGGAAAGGAAAAUAAAAGAGAAUAAUUAUCAAUUUAGGUUUACUGAUUACAUUUUACAUGCAAGUUGGCUGAAAUAGGGUCUAGAUUCAUUGGUGAUUUCGGCAAUCAAGAGGAACAUAUGGAUUCUACUUCUUAUGGAAUAUUUUGAUUGGUCGAAUGAUGCAGGACAAGUACAGAAAGACUUGGACACCAAGCCUAGCCAUGCACUAUAUAAGGAGGCGAGGGUGAGACAUAAAAAUCAUAAUCAAAACCCAGAAUCAAAAUCGAAAUAUCUCCCCUUUACUCUCAAGGUUUCAGCCCCUCUCCAUUGUUCAAGACUUGAAGCCGUGAAGCAAAGUUCCAUUCUCCAUUCACCAUCCUUGCCGUGAGCCUCAUCAUCCUCCACCACCUUUGAAGACAUUCUUGCAUUCUUGAAGGUUCUUUAAAAGUGUAACCAUGACCUCUAUUCUUUUGUUUUCGGUUUCUAUAUAUGUUUUGUAACUUUAAAAACAGAUUCUAUAGCGUUCUAUGUUUUUGUUUUGAAUGGAUGUUUCGAAUCUUUGUUAGAAUGAAGAGUAUGUAUUGAUGUC